Molecule: small RNA, 145 nt
Filed under: Polaribacter vadi
Lineage: Bacteria; Pseudomonadati; Bacteroidota; Flavobacteriia; Flavobacteriales; Flavobacteriaceae
Description: Flavo-1 RNA
Rfam family: Flavo-1 RNA
Source: Rfam by way of RNAcentral
UUUGCGUUAAGGAUUGUAGUGGAAAUCCUUUUUAUGCAAGUUUUAAAAUACCUUGAAUUUAUUUUUAUUGAUAUUAUUAAUUUAAAAGUAAAAAAACUUGAAUAAUUUCAGCAUAAAAAGAUUGAAACGUAAAGCCUGACCAAGC